CCAACUUCGGUUGGACGGUUAGUGGCGCACGGGUGCGUAACGCGUGGGAAUCUGCCCUUUGCUUCGGAAUAACAGUUAGAAAUGACUGCUAAUACCGGAUGAUGUCUUCGGACCAAAGAUUUAUCGGCAAAGGAUGAGCCCGCGUAAGAUUAGCUAGUUGGUGAGGUAAUGGCUCACCAAGGCGACGAUCUUUAGCUGGUCUGAGAGGAUGAUCAGCCACACUGGGACUGAGACACGGCCCAGACUCCUACGGGA
This 255-nucleotide ribosomal RNA is filed under the name uncultured Novosphingobium sp. Its description in RNAcentral is "partial 16S ribosomal RNA". It matches the Rfam family "Bacterial small subunit ribosomal RNA", at positions 74 to 346 of the family's 1533-position model. Lineage: Bacteria; Pseudomonadati; Pseudomonadota; Alphaproteobacteria; Sphingomonadales; Sphingomonadaceae. The record is from RNAcentral.